RNAcentral lists this ribosomal RNA (504 nucleotides) under uncultured Pseudomonadota bacterium. Its description in RNAcentral is "bacterial SSU rRNA". It matches the Rfam family "Bacterial small subunit ribosomal RNA", at positions 9 to 508 of the family's 1533-position model. The record is from RNAcentral. Lineage: Bacteria; Pseudomonadati; Pseudomonadota.
GAGUUUGAUCAUGGCUCAGAUUGAACGCUGGCGGCAUGCUUUACACAUGCAAGUCGAACGGCAGCGGGGGCUUCGGUCCGCCGGCGAGUGGCGAACGGGUGAGUAAUGCAUCGGAACGUACCCAGUCGUGGGGGAUAACGCAGCGAAAGCUGUGCUAAUACCGCAUACGUCCUGAGGGAGAAAGCGGGGGACCUUCGGGCCUCGCGCGAUUGGAGCGGCCGAUGUCGGAUUAGCUAGUUGGUGGGGUAAAGGCUCACCAAGGCGACGAUCCGUAGCUGGUCUGAGAGGAUGAUCAGCCACACUGGGACUGAGACACGGCCCAGACUCCUACGGGAGGCAGCAGUGGGGAAUUUUGGACAAUGGGGGCAACCCUGAUCCAGCCAUGCCGCGUGAGUGAAGAAGGCCUUCGGGUUGUAAAGCUCUUUCAGUCGGGAAGAAACGGAGCGCUCUAACAUAGCGCUCUACUGACGGUACCGACAGAAGAAGCACCGGCUAACUACGUGC